AGUGAACGCUGGCGGCGUGCUUAACACAUGCAAGUCGAACGAGAACGGGAUAUAGCUUGCUAUAUUUGUCAGCUAAGUGGCGCACGGGUGAGUAAUGUAUAGGUAAUAUGCCUCUUACUAAGGGAUAACAAUUGGAAACGAUAGCUAAUACCUUAUAUGCCUUUAAGACUAAAGUCUGCAAGGGAAAGAUUUAUUGGUAAGAGAUUAGCCUGUAUUGUAUCAGCUAGUUGGUGAGGUAAUGGCUCACCAAGGCUAUGACGCAUAACUGGUUUGAGAGGAUGAUCAGUCACACUGAAACUGAGACACGGUCCAGACUCCUACGGGAGGCAGCAGUGGGGAAUAUUGCACAAUGGACGAAAGUCUGAUGCAGCAACGCCUCGUGGAGGAUGACACAUUUCGGUGCGUAAACUCCUUUUAUAUAGGAAGAUAAUGACGGUACUAUAUGAAUAAGCACCGGCUAACUCCGUGCCAGCAGCCGCAGUAA
Molecule: ribosomal RNA, 484 nt
Filed under: uncultured bacterium
Lineage: Bacteria
Description: partial 16S ribosomal RNA
Rfam family: Bacterial small subunit ribosomal RNA
Source: RNAcentral